AAUGCAUUAUGUAUGCAUGUAUGUCUUCAAAAUAGCGCUUACUGAAUAUUAGGGUAACAUUUUCCUCCAUGUUAGCAAAUCGAAGAAAAGCAGAGGCCCGGAAGACUGGAGGGGGUCCACCACCUGCAGCCCUCACAGAGGCUGAGGAGAUGGCCCUCAGCCAACAGAGUAUGCGUCCUGUGGCUUAGGGCAUCCCUGGGGGGUGCUCCUCUGAUCCCCCCACCCCCCAGGAUAGAAGUGCCUUUAUAAGAGUUACUGAUGGCGUCAUCGCCCUACUUGAACCAGAUGCCCUCACCAACCUCCAUGCAAUUGAAGAUGAUGGAGAAACAUUGUCUGCGGCAUUCGAAAGGGAAGAGGAAAGGCCUAUUGAGGUUAACAUCUUUUAAAAAUAACGUCUUAAAGUUGAUGAUAGCGUUGUACAAUUUAAAACUGACAUCUUCUUUCUCUCUAACAGGAUGAAGUCAAAUCCAAUGAGAGGCCAUCCACUUCUAAAUCACAGCUUACCUCUCUAAGAUUCUCCCUGGAAUUAAAAUGUAACGCUCUACUUGGCACUGUGAAAUCCAAUGUCAUUUUUUGCAUUCCUAUAGCUUCCAGUCAAAGAGCUACAUAAAAUCUAUCUAGAAAAGCAAAUACACAAAGCAGACUUGGAAAGGGACCACCUUAGGCAAAAGAUGCAAAGGAUGCUUUGGAGAUCCAAAUUUUGGAACAUAUUGUUAAAGGUGGGUGAAGUGCAAACUGGGAUACUGUUCCCUGCUCUAAAAACAUACCCAAUAUGAAUGACUUUUCUUUUUUUGUGCUUUCAGGAAAUAAAGAAAUCCUCAUAAAAAGUAGAUUGUCUUUAUUAAAACACGGGCUGUGGUGGGACAAGUUAUUUUGUUGAACAGUUUACUCAAAGGGUUUUACUUCAGUGAACAAUGCAGACGAUUAUGCUGAGCAUGUGCAUGUGCAUGUAGAGAAGAACAGCAUCUGGUUAAAAGCAGUACCAGGGUCUUUUCUGCCUUGCAUUCUUAAAAUGAGUUUCUUGACUUGCAGCAGUUAUAGGUCCUUGGUUAGUCAGCUACUCUGAUCAUGGUAA
Gadus macrocephalus (Pacific cod) is the source of this 1075-nucleotide long non-coding RNA. RefSeq lists it as uncharacterized. The transcript is spliced from 3 exons. Lineage: Eukaryota; Metazoa; Chordata; Actinopteri; Gadiformes; Gadidae. The record is from RefSeq and is a predicted model, not a curated record.